Molecule: ribosomal RNA, 368 nt
Filed under: Chrysoperla sp. Jeddah1
Lineage: Eukaryota; Metazoa; Arthropoda; Insecta; Neuroptera; Chrysopidae
Also listed under: 1 other name
Description: partial 16S ribosomal RNA
Source: RNAcentral
AAUUAUUAAAGGGCCGCGGUAUUUUGACUGUGCAAAGGUAGCAUAAUCAUUUGUCUCUUAAUUGGAGGCUGGAAUGAAUGGUUGAAUGAAAUAUUAACUGUCUCAUUUUUAAAAUUUUAAAAACUUAGCUUUUAAGUCAAAAGGCUUAAAUAAAUUUAGAGGACGAGAAGACCCUAUAGAUCUUUAUAAUUUAUUUAAUUUUAUAAAAUAGAAAAAUAAUAAAUAAAAUUAAUAUAAUUAUUUUAUUGGGGUGAUAGGAAAAUUUAAUAAACUUUUUUUAUUUAUUAACAUUGAUUUAUGAUUAAUUGAUCCAUUUUUAGUGAUUAUAAGAUUAAGUUACCUUAGGGAUAACAGCGUAAUUUUUUUAG